This 1519-nucleotide ribosomal RNA is filed under the name metagenome. RNAcentral describes it as "bacterial SSU rRNA". It matches the Rfam family "Bacterial small subunit ribosomal RNA". The record is from RNAcentral.
GAUUCUGGCUCAGAUUGAACGCUGGCGGCAUGCCUUACACAUGCAAGUCGAACGCUGGCCGUGAGGUAGCAAUAUUUCACGGUCGGAGUGGCGUAAGGGUGCGUAACACGUGGGUAAUUUGCCGCGAAGUUGGGGAUAACUCCGAGAAAUCGGAGCUAAUACCGAAUGUGAUCGCCGGGGGGCAUCCUCUGGUGGUUGAAGUUGGGGACCGCAAGGCCUGACGCUUCGCGAUAAGCCCGCGGCCUAUCAGCUAGUUGGCGGGGUAACGGCCCACCAAGGCGAAGACGGGUAGCUGGUCUGAGAGGACGACCAGCCACACUGGAACUGAGACACGGUCCAGACACCUACGGGUGGCAGCAGUCGAGAAUUUUUCACAAUGGGCGAAAGCCUGAUGGAGCGACGCCGCGUGGGGGACGAAUGGCUUCGGCCCGUAAACCCCUGUCAUUUGCGAGCAAUUCCGGCCGGUGAAUAUCCGGUCGGUUGAUCGUAGCGAAAGAGGAAGGGACGGCUAACUCUGUGCCAGCAGCCGCGGUAAUACAGAGGUCCCAAGCGUUGUUCGGAUUCACUGGGCGUAAAGGGUGCGUAGGUGGCAAGGUAAGUUCGGUGUGAAAUCCCCGGGCUUAACCCGGAAAUGGCAUUGAAUACUAUCUUGCUAGAGGGUUGGAGGGGGGACUGGAAUUCUCGGUGUAGCAGUGAAAUGCGUAGAUAUCGAGAGGAACACCAGUGGCGAAGGCGAGUCCCUGGACAACUCCUGACACUGAGGCACGAAAGCUAGGGGAGCAAACAGGAUUAGAUACCCUGGUAGUCCUAGCCCUAAACGGUGCACAUUUGCUGUAGGCGGAUUAGACCCCGUCUGUGGCGUAGCUAACGCGAUAAAUGUGCCGCCUGGGAAGUACGGUCGCAAGAUUAAAACUCAAAGAAAUUGACGGGGGCCUGCACAAGCGGUGGAGUAUGUGGCUCAAUUCGAUCAACGCGAAGAACCUUACCUGGCCUUGACAUGCAAGUAGUAGAAGAAUGAAGGUUCGACGACUCCGCAAGGAGAGCUUGCACAGGUGCUGCAUGGCUGUCGUCAGCUCGUGUCGUGAGAUGUUGGGUUGAGUCCCGCAACGAGCGCAACCCCUGUGUCCUGUUGCCACUUCCGCGCAAGCGGAAAGCACUCUGGACAGACUGCCUCGCUUAAACGGGGAGGAAGGUGGGGAUGACGUCAAGUCAGUAUGGCCCUUACGGCCAGGGCUGCACACGUACUACAAUGACCGGUACAAAGGGAUGCGAGACCGCAAGGUGGAGCCAAUCCCCCAAAACCGGCCCCAGUUCAGAUUGUCGUCUGCAACUCGACGGCAUGAAGCUGGAAUCGCUAGUAAUGGCGCAUCAGCUACGGCGCCGUGAAUACGUUCCCAGGCCUUGUACACACCGCCCGUCACAUCAUGAAAGCCGUUUGUACCCGAAGUCGUUGUGCCAACCUAACAGGGGCAGAUGCCGAAGGUAUGGAUGGUGAUUGGGAUGAAGUCGUAACAAGGUA